Molecule: ribosomal RNA, 253 nt
Filed under: uncultured bacterium
Lineage: Bacteria
Description: partial 16S ribosomal RNA
Rfam family: Bacterial small subunit ribosomal RNA
Source: RNAcentral
UACAGAGGUCCCAAGCGUUGUUCGGAUUUACUGGGCGUAAAGGGAGCGUAGGUGGCAUUCUAAGUCUGAUGUGAAAGCUCUGAGCUUAACUCAGAAAUGGCAUUAGAAACUAGUUUGCUCGAGGAUUGGAGGGGAGAUUGGAAUACUUGGUGUAGCAGUGAAAUGCGUAGAUAUCAAGUGGAACACCAGUGGCGAAGGCGAAUCUCUGGACAAUUCCUGACACUGAUGCUCGAAAGCUAGGGGAGCAAACGGG